UAGGGAAUCUUCCACAAUGGACGCAAGUCUGAUGGAGCAACGCCGCGUGAGUGAAGAAGGUUUUCGGACCGUAAAGCUCUGUUGUUGGUGAAGAAGGAUAGAGGUAGUAAACUGGCCUUUAUUUGACGGUAAUCAACCAGAAAGUCACGGCUAACUACGUGCCAGCAGCCGCGGUAAUCGUAGGUGGCAAGCGUUGUCCGGAUUUAUUGGGCGUAAAGCGAGCGCAGGCGGAAGAAUAAGUCUGAUGUGAAAGCCCUCGGCUUAACCGAGGAAUUGCAUCGGAAACUGUUUUUCUUGAGUGCAGAAGAGGAGAGUA
Molecule: ribosomal RNA, 316 nt
Filed under: uncultured bacterium
Lineage: Bacteria
Description: partial 16S ribosomal RNA
Rfam family: Bacterial small subunit ribosomal RNA
Source: RNAcentral